GUUCUGCUUGCCAUAGUGGACAUGGCAUCUGCCCGGUAAGCGGAACAUUGUGGGUUCGAUUCCCAUCCCUGGACA
Non-coding RNA from Cordylochernes scorpioides, 75 nucleotides. The record is from the annotation of a GenBank genome assembly. NCBI's taxonomy places the organism in Eukaryota, Metazoa, Arthropoda, Arachnida, Pseudoscorpiones, Chernetidae.